UACGAAGGGUGCAAACGUUGCUCGGAAUUAUUGGGCGUAAAGCGCACGUAGGCGGCUUUUCAAGUCCCAUGUGAAAGCCCACGGCUUAACCGUGGAAGUGCAUGGGAAACUGGAAAGCUUGAGUACUUAAGAGGAUCGCGGAAUUCCCAGUGUAGAGGUGAAAUUCGUAGAUAUCGGGAGGAACACCAGAGGCGAAGGCGGCGACCUGGACAAGCACUGACACUCAACUACGAAAGCGGUGGGGAGCAAACAGG
This 254-nucleotide ribosomal RNA is filed under the name uncultured bacterium. RNAcentral describes it as "partial 16S ribosomal RNA". It matches the Rfam family "Bacterial small subunit ribosomal RNA", at positions 524 to 776 of the family's 1533-position model. The record is from RNAcentral.